Molecule: long non-coding RNA, 761 nt
Filed under: Nicotiana benthamiana
Lineage: Eukaryota; Viridiplantae; Streptophyta; Magnoliopsida; Solanales; Solanaceae
Description: long non-coding RNA (NBEN_LNC007155)
Source: RNAcentral
CCCAUGUAUGCUUCAUUAAGGCCCAUUAGGAACUGAAAUACCUUAUUUUCAUCAUUUUCCUGUAUUAUACCAUCUUUGGCAACACAACCACAUCUUUGGCCACGAUUGGCACACAUUGAUUCUAAUUCAUCCGACAGACCUUUCAGUUUAUUAAAAUAUGAAGCUACAUCUAGGGACCCUUGAGAGGUAUGAGAAAGCUCUCUUUUCAAUUCAAAAAUUUUGGUCCUGUUUGCAGUGCGAUAUCUGGCCUGAAGUUGGGACCAUAUACUCUGUGCAGUAUCAGAAUACUGCACACUUUCAGCAAUUUGAGGGGAGAUGGAGGCAGUUAACCAGGAAAUCACCAUAUUAUUGCACCUGUCCCAUAACCUUUGUUGAGCCACAUUAGUGACUGGCCGGGAGCACGUGCCAUCAACAAAACCAAAUUUAUUUGUAGCAGAUAACGCAACAAUUAUUUUUCUCCUCCAACCCCCAUAACCACUGCCGAGAAGGGAGUGGAGACAAGAGAGACCCCAGGAACAUCAGAGGAGUAGACAAAAAGGGGGCUGGUAGAGUCUACCGAGGAGGUACCGGCAUUCGUAUUAGAAGCCAUGAUUAAUGAACCAGCUUGAAAGGAAAACAAUUUCAGCAAGCAAAAUAUAACGGAACCAGAUACUCACAUACAAAUCAUACAAUACUCAAAAUAAGGACAGAGUUACCCCCCUUCUUCGCGACCGGAGAAGAUCGGCCUUCAAUCAACAGAGAAAACCCUAGGUCCAACACCG